UGGGGGAUAUUGCACAAUGGGGGAAACCCUGAUGCAGCGACGCCGCGUGUAGGAAGACGGUCCUCUGGAUUGUAAACUACUGUCUUCGGGGACGAUAAUGACGGUACCCGAGGAGGAAGCUCCGGCUAACUACGUGCCAGCAGCCGCGGUAAUACGUAGGGAGCGAGCGUUGUCCGGAAUUACUGGGUGUAAAGGGUGAGUAGGCGGCAUAGUAAGUCAUAUAUGAAAGCCCGCAGCUUAACUGCGGAGUUGCAUAAGAAACUAUUGAGCUAGAGUGCAGGAGAGGCAAGCGGAAUUCGUGGUGUAGCGGUGAAAUGCUUAGAUAUCACGAAGAACUCCAAUUGCGAAGGCAGCUGACAAAACCAUUAUUGACGCUGAGGCACGAAAGUGUGGGGAUCAAACA
RNAcentral lists this ribosomal RNA (403 nucleotides) under uncultured bacterium. RNAcentral describes it as "bacterial SSU rRNA". It matches the Rfam family "Bacterial small subunit ribosomal RNA", at positions 355 to 774 of the family's 1533-position model. The record is from RNAcentral.